Molecule: ribosomal RNA, 250 nt
Filed under: uncultured prokaryote
Description: partial 16S ribosomal RNA
Rfam family: Bacterial small subunit ribosomal RNA
Source: RNAcentral
UACGUAGGGGGCAAGCGUUAUCCGGAUUUACUGGGUGUAAAGGGAGCGUAGACGGCAAGGCAAGUCUGAAGUGAAAGCCCGGGGCUCAACUCCGGGACUGCUUUGGAAACUGUUUAGCUAGAGUGCAGGAGGGGCGAGUGGAAUUCCUAGUGUAGCGGUGAAAUGCGUAGAUAUUAGGAGGAACACCGGUGGCGAAGGCGGCCCGCUGGACUGUAACUGACGUUGAGGCUCGAAAGCGUGGGGAGCAAAC